This 492-nucleotide ribosomal RNA is filed under the name uncultured bacterium. RNAcentral's name for it is "partial 16S ribosomal RNA". It matches the Rfam family "Bacterial small subunit ribosomal RNA", at positions 29 to 507 of the family's 1533-position model. The record is from RNAcentral.
AGUGAACGCUGGCGGUAGGCCUAACACAUGCAAGUCGAACGGCAGCACAGUAAGAGCUUGCUCUUACAGGUGGCGAGUGGUGAGUGGGUGCGAAAUACAUCGGUAUUUGCUUGUUCGUAGGGGAUGACGUAGGGACACUUACGCUAAUACUGCUUAGGACCUAAGGGUGAAAGCUGGGGAUCUUCGGACCUUGCGCGAUUGAAGGAGCCGAUGUCGGAUUAGCUAGUUGGCGGGGUAAAGGCCCACCAAGGCGACGAUCCGUAGCUGGUCUGAGAGGAUGAUCAGUCACACUGGAACUGAGACACGGUCCAGACUCCUACGGGAGGCAGCAGUGGGGAAUAUUGGACAAUGGGCGCAAGCCUGAUCCAGCCAUGCCGCGUGUGUGAAGAAGGCCUUCGGGUUGUAAAGCCCUUUUGGUGGGAAAGAAAGGCAGCAAGUUAAUACCCCGCUGUUCUGACGGUACCAAAAGAAUAAGCACCGGCUAACUUCGUG